AUUCCUCAAUAAAAGAACAAGUGGUAUCGGAUGUUCUGGAUAGGUUAAGCAAGACACGACACCUUCAUUGUUGGAGAAUAUAAAUGGACAUUGUGUUAAGAAUCGUGGAAUAAUAGGACAACCUCAAGUUAAUAAAAUGGAAUAUGAAGUAAAGGAGUACGUCCCCACAAACGGCAAUGAAUUACCAAGGGCAAAGGAAUACCAAUUUAAGGAGUACACGACAAAAGCCAAGGAUUACAAACUACGUGACCCGCCUGUAUUACCACUGGAAUACAAGACUGCUGACAGAAUGGAAACUCAACCAGUAGCGAGUACAUAUAAUGAAUAUGUGCCACCAUGGACGAGGUUUAAAAAUAAAUUUACAAAGAAAAAUAAAACAACUAAAACAGUUGAGAAAAUGAAGCCGUCUCCUAUUUUACCAGGUGUUUCAUCUGUUGGUUCUGUGAAAAGAACGCUGGACACGUUUUCUACUGGAUCAAGACUGUGAUAUCAAUUUGAUACAUUCUCUACUGGAUCAAGACUGUGAUAUCAAUUUGAUACAUUCUCUACUGGAUCAAGACUGUGAUAUCAAUUUGAUACAUUCUCUACUGGGUCAAGACUGUCAUAUUUACUUGUACUUCGGUACCAACAGGACUACUUCACAAAUAUAAAAUCACGCAUAAUGUAAUAAUACAAUUUAAAGUUACAUAUUUGCUGGAAUUGUUCAGUUCGUAACAAGAAGGGCGUGGGCUUGGAUCAAUACAUUUUUGAAUCAGCACUUUAUGAAAUCGUUGAAAUAAGUCUCUACCAACUUGACAAAUAUGGCAUUUUUUUUAAUUAAAACUAUAUUGAAUCGAUGUAUUUCUAUUAUCAACUUGAGUUGAUCCGAUGUUCCUUCCCAAAAAUUCGUGAAUAGAGACCAAACAAUUAACAUUAAAGUC
This is a long non-coding RNA of Patella vulgata (common limpet), 920 nucleotides long. RefSeq lists it as uncharacterized. The transcript has 3 exons. NCBI's taxonomy places the organism in Eukaryota, Metazoa, Mollusca, Gastropoda, Patellidae. The record is from RefSeq and is a predicted model, not a curated record.